Phalacrocorax carbo (great cormorant) is the source of this 4056-nucleotide non-coding RNA. The record is from RefSeq and is a predicted model, not a curated record. NCBI's taxonomy places the organism in Eukaryota, Metazoa, Chordata, Aves, Suliformes, Phalacrocoracidae.
GGACGGGGUCCUCCUGGGGGAGAGGGUGCGCGCCGUCAGGCUCCGGCGGGAGAAAAACCCCCUCCCGCUCCCCCGCUCGGGAGCCGUUAACGGCCCGCGCGCAGCGCAAGUACGGCCCCCAGCGGGCCCGGCGCCCUCAGCGCUCCCACCGGCGGCGGCGGCAGCGCAGCCCGCGGCUCCGGGCGACACCCGCCGGCCGCGGUGCCCGUUCGCAGGCCGGUAGCCGCAGCUCGCCUGCCCGCCACAGCAUCGUCCCGGCUGCCCACGGCCGGGGCCGACCCCUUACCAGCGCGGAGGCCAUGGGCGGAGCGGGACACCGCAGCAACGGUAGCUGCCGGAGCGGAACGGAGCGGCGGCCCGUCAAACCCCCCGCGCUCCAGGCGCAGCCGGCCGAGCCCCGAAUUCGUCCGCGGCGCCAACACCGCGUCCUUCCAUCCGCCCAUUGGCCGGCCGCCCCGCGGGGGGCGGGGCCGCAGAGCCGCCUAUCGGUCGUGUAGGUGCUCGACUCCCUCUUAAAGGCACAGAACAGCAGCUCCCCUCGCGUUUCCUGGCAACCGUUCCUGGGUCCCGCCUGGGCCGCCGCCCCCCGGGGGCCCUGAGGCGCCGCGACUGGCGUGGCUGCAGGCGGAGUGCGCUUUCGCCUGCCUGCCACUGCCUGUCCUUGGGGGCCUUUUCCUGCGGGUUAGCCAAAAGCAAACCUGAAAGAAGAAAAAACUUUAAAGUUAGUGGAAGAUCUGGCCCGCGUCACCUCGAUUUUGUGACUUAUCAAUCGAUGCAGGGUAGCCCUGUUGAACACCUCAGGUGGAUUUUGUAUUAAGCCACUGACGUGCGGAAACAGACUCCACAACCCAUAAUCAAUACCAGUGAUGUCUGCUGCAUUGCCAGUAACAUGGUUGCUGGGGCACUGGGAGCCACAGAGGGGAUUAUCCUUCUGCUUGAGUUUUGCUGUCCAGAGACCAGCCCAUGCAGCCAAUAGCAUCCUACAAGCAUCAGCCUGCAGCAGCAGUUUACCCAGGAGUGGUUCCGGUGUGGUUCACCACACUGUCACAGCAGCUGUUGAAAUGGCACAACUGAGGGGAUGCUGCAGGAAGAGAGGAGAGGAGCAGAGGAGGCAACCUGAGCCAGCAUCGUGGACUACAAUCCUGCUGUGUGAAAGGCUCAGUUGCAACCUGAUCCCACCCCCUGCAACCAGGCAGAGCAAUUUGCUCAGAAAGGUACAAUUUUCAGAGAAUUUUGCUGAACAACGCACAAGGCUGACUAUACAGAUACUUAACAGGUUGCAACUUGUCCAUGCUUUCCACUACGGUAGCAAAAGACAUCCCCAGCACCAGAAGAUCACCCCGACAAGUGUCAAAGCUUGUUCAAAAGCUUGGAGAUGAUAGAGUAUCAUCAGCAAUAAACAUUAACAGAAAAAUAACACUUCCCCCUCGAAUUCCAUUCUUUAAAAUGGCUAGGCCCUUUUAUUUCAUAACAUUAUUCUGGCCCCCCCCCCCCCCCAAACCUCUUGAGCUGUAUAAUUUUAUUUGGGUGGUUAGUGGUUAAAUGUAUUUCUCCAUGAAGUUUCCUCAAAGGCCUGAUUUCUAAGUUACAGUACAACCAUCAAGCCUUGCAAGACUGAAACAAGGCAAGAAAGCCACAGGAGCACUUGUUUUGUAUUUGGCAAUAUCUCAAACGUCGUCAGUUUGGAAAUAACUGCCUACAGCUUAACUGUUGAACUUGGAUUGAUUUUAAGUGCAACAUUUCAAACUGGGUUUAUGAUGGCAUACAGGAGUAUGUUUCAGUGUUUCAGUCUUUCUGACAAUGAUUGCCAGAGAUCAAGCAUGACUUUGGAAAACAAACACCGAGGAGUCUAUCGGUUGAGCUGAUUGCCUUCGGGGACAGUAAUGAAGAGCAUACUACUUUACAUCAUCUUUCAAGUGGUAUUUUAUCAGCUCACAAUUCUCAUCCAGUGAUCAAAAAGCCUGUAGCACUUCUUCAUUCCAACAUAUAAAAUAUAGAUUGUGUUGAUUGGUAUCAAGCUGACACAUGAUCAUUUAGUUGAUAGUCAGACUUGCACUGUUUGUGGCCCUUUUCUCAAAAGAAUGAAGUCAGUGAGAGUUAAAGCUGUAAUAAUUGUAUUCAAGUGUUGACAUGCCUGAGGAAUGGCUGGGGACCCCUGCUAUCCCAAGCUCUUUUAAAAUGGCAGUUCAGAAUACUUUUAACCUCCUGCUGUAGGGUUUAGUUCAUCUUUUGUUGAAACAUUAAUACUUUUGAAAUUAAACUUGCUGCAAUAUACUGGCCCUGCAGAAGAAAAUUCAAAUUAUUUCUGCACCUUUAAGGUAGAAAGCCAGAACAGAGCAUAUUAAGAUUUAGUGGUAUAGGCACUCCCCCACAUCUUCUAAACAUACUUAUUUUAAAUCUGUUUUAGUUUCAUAAGCAAUGUGUUAUCUAUAACAAAAAAAAAAAGGCUAUGACAACUGUUUUGCAGAAACUCAGCUAUUUUUUCAAUAGUUAGAAUGUCAAAUUUCUAUUUGAAACACCUCACAUUACUCUAACAUUUGUUCAGCCAGCCAGCUAGUUUCAUUCUACAGCUUAUACAUGGAAUAUUUGACAGAAGCUUUUUCCUAUUACAUCCUUUUUAAGACCAGAAUGGCAGUUUUGUAAUGUCAGGCUUCCUACAUUAACAUUUAAAGUUUUAUAUGCAGUUAUCUGAGAACCAGUAAAAAGGGACUCCAAAUCUGAUAUAACACUAAGUUCUCCAAGUGUAACAAAGCAUUUCUGUAACUCAAGGCAAAAGAGGGAGCAUUUGAAUGUAGCAGCAGAACUGAUGUUGCAUUUAAUUUAAUUUCACUGAUACUUUGCUCAAUUAGAUAAAAGCCUGUAACAGCACCAUGCCAUGAACUAAGUCAAGGAGAAAAGUCACCUUCUCAAUUUCAUUUAAAUUAUAGGUUUCUAUGAUUGAAAAAAAAAAAUUUCAGUGCUCUUUAUUCCUGAUCAGUUAGAAAAAUAAUACAGAUUUCAUUAACUUUACAUGCCUACAAGAGAACUUUCUUUUCAGAAACUGAUUUUAAACACAUAAAACCAGAAAAACCACAGAAGCUUUGACAAAAAGGAGCAGGUUCUUGCAAGACAGUCCUAAGUAGAGAGCAGGGCAGUGAAAUCACACAAGCCUGCAAAUAAGUCAGCUUUUCAUUUUCCUUAGAAAUAGUUACAAUUUUUAUUAUUUAUAUACCUGAAAGGUUUGAAAGAGCUAAAUAACAGUGAGAAAUCCUCUUCUUCCUUGAGGAGCAGCUGCUUUCCACAGGUCUGCAGCAGAGCUUUCUGGAGAUCACGUUAAAAUCUGUGGGCUUUCCUAUGAAUUACAGACCGUUACCUUGAAGUGGCUAAGUGUGUCUGGCUUGUAGUAUGAAACACAAAUAUUAGAAGGCAUAAGCAAAAUUUAACAGAUACCCACUGAAGACAGUUUGAAAAUAGGAUCACAGGAUAAUUCAGGUAGGAAGGGGCCUGGGGAAGUCAUCUACUGCAAACUCCUGCUCAAAGCAGUAGAACUUAAUGAAGUUUCCUUCAGAUUAUUUAAUGAAGCAUCAUUCCUUUAAUGCCUGCAAAGACAAAAAGGGUGUGAAUGUUCCUUGCUAAAGAGUUUUCUGCUGAAUAGUCUUCCAUCUCCACAAAAGAAUAACUGAAUAAGCUGUUAUUUUGAACAUUUGAAUACUGAUUUAACCUAUUAUCACUCUUCACAGCUCAGAAUAUCUUCCCAGACAGCUGUCUGCAGAACUGCAUUGCACUGUAAUGGGAUAAGCUCAGGAAAGAGGAGAACGGGCAAGGAUUAGAAAUCUGUGCAGUUCAGCACUGAGCAGUAACAACUAAGCUCUGUGUUAUUUCCCCUGCAGGUUUCUUUCCUAACAGGAGAAGAGCAAAUCUCAAGUCUAGUUUAAGAUUCACCUACCUUUACUAAGAUUCACUGGAAAUAAAUAAAUUAAGAAAGAAAGAAAAUGCUUCCUACAAGGAGUUUUUCAUCCAUGACCAGUAACUUAAUUCCUGACCAUCUCUGAAAUUUAAAAACAUCGCCACCGAAGA